RNAcentral lists this ribosomal RNA (522 nucleotides) under Triticum aestivum (bread wheat). Its description in RNAcentral is "partial small subunit ribosomal RNA". Lineage: Eukaryota; Viridiplantae; Streptophyta; Magnoliopsida; Poales; Poaceae. The record is from RNAcentral.
AUGGACGGAGCAGUGCACACAAGUUCGCAAAGAGGGGCCACUUCGGCAGUGUGCCGCGAUGAGUCGGGCUUAUACGUUGGCUUGUCUGCAAUGGCUUUCCAGGGUCUGACGGAUCCAACGAUCCUGGAAGCCCUUGCGUGUCGAGAGGCUCUUGCCUUGGCUAAGGAUCUCAUGGUGCAGAAAUUUAGAGUAGCUUCAGACUGCAGGACAGUGAUGCAAGGCAUACAAAGUGGUACGCUAGGCCCAAUUGCACCAAUUGUUAAUGAGAUUCAUACUGCCAUUAGAGAUUUUAUUACUUGUAUUUUCGGUUUUGAAGGUAGAAGCUCCAAUACGGAGGCACACAGAUUAGCUAAACAUGCUUUAUUUUUGGAUGAGGGACGCCACUUGCGGUCUUUUAGAUAUGAAAACGUCUGGCAGUGCCAUGCCCAAUAUGAUCAACUGAUUCUCGAUCUUUGGCGGGUUGGCACUGGACAGGUUUACAAGGAGUGGUCGAUGCUUUGGCCAUCGUCCAAAAAGAUCUAG